UACAGAGGUCUCAAGCGUUGUUCGGAUUCAUUGGGCGUAAAGGGUGCGUAGGCGGCGCGGUAAGUCGGGUGUGAAAUCUCGGAGCUUAACUCCGAAACUGCAUUCGAUACUGCCGUGCUUGAGGACUGGAGAGGAGACUGGAAUUUACGGUGUAGCGGUGAAAUGCGUAGAUAUCCACAGGAACUCCGGUGGCGAAGGCGGCACGCUGGACUCUCUCUGACGCUGAGGCGCGAAAGCCAGGGGAGCGAACGGG
This 253-nucleotide ribosomal RNA is filed under the name uncultured bacterium. Its description in RNAcentral is "partial 16S ribosomal RNA". It matches the Rfam family "Bacterial small subunit ribosomal RNA", at positions 524 to 776 of the family's 1533-position model. The record is from RNAcentral.